RNAcentral lists this ribosomal RNA (572 nucleotides) under uncultured bacterium. Its description in RNAcentral is "bacterial SSU rRNA". It matches the Rfam family "Bacterial small subunit ribosomal RNA", at positions 51 to 610 of the family's 1533-position model. The record is from RNAcentral.
ACACAUGCAAGUCGAGGGGAAACGACAUCGAAAGCUUGCUUUUGAUGGGCGUCGACCGGCGCACGGGUGAGUAACGCGUAUCCAACCUGCCCACCACUUGGGGAUAACCUUGCGAAAGUAAGACUAAUACCCAAUGACGUCUCUAGAAGACAUCUGAAAGGGAUUAAAGAUUUAUCGGUGAUGGAUGGGGAUGCGUCUGAUUAGCUUGUUGGCGGGGUAACGGCCCACCAAGGCUACGAUCAGUAGGGGUUCUGAGAGGAAGGUCCCCCACAUUGGAACUGAGACACGGUCCAAACUCCUACGGGAGGCAGCAGUGAGGAAUAUUGGUCAAUGGACGAGAGUCUGAACCAGCCAAGUAGCGUGCAGGAUGACGGCCCUAUGGGUUGUAAACUGCUCUUAUAAGGGAAUAAAGUGAGCCUCGUGAGGCUUUUUGCAUGUACCUUAUGAAUAAGGACCGGCUAAUUCCGUGCCAGCAGCCGCGGUAAUACGGAAGGUCCGGGCGUUAUCCGGAUUUAUUGGGUUUAAAGGGAGCGUAGGCCGGAGAUUAAGCGUGUUGUGAAAUGUAGAUGCUC